This 403-nucleotide ribosomal RNA is filed under the name uncultured bacterium. Its description in RNAcentral is "partial 16S ribosomal RNA". It matches the Rfam family "Bacterial small subunit ribosomal RNA", at positions 28 to 526 of the family's 1533-position model. The record is from RNAcentral.
GACGAACGCUGGCGGCGUGCCUAAUACAUGCAAGUCGAACGCAGUGGGGACGGGUGAGUAACACGUGGGUAACCUCCCAUCAGAGGGGAUAACACUUGGAAACAGGUGCUAAACCGAUACUGAUGGAUGAACCCGCGGUGCAUUAGCUAGGUGGUGUGGUAACGGCGCACCAAGGCCAGGAUGCAUAGCCGACCGGAUAGGGGGGGCAGCCACACUGAGACUGAGACACGGCCCAGACUCCUACGCGAGGCAGCAGUAGGGAAUCGUCGGCAAGGGACGAAAGUCUGACCGAGCACCGCCGCGUGAGGGAAGAAGGGUUUCGGAUCGUAAAACUCUGUUGUUAGAGAAGCGGUAUCUAACCAGAAAGCCACGGCUAACUACGUGCCAGCAGCCGCGGUAAUAC